This 427-nucleotide ribosomal RNA is filed under the name Caprella mutica. RNAcentral's name for it is "partial 16S ribosomal RNA". It matches the Rfam family "Bacterial large subunit ribosomal RNA", at positions 1953 to 2619 of the family's 2925-position model. The record is from RNAcentral. Lineage: Eukaryota; Metazoa; Arthropoda; Malacostraca; Amphipoda; Caprellidae.
AAGGUAGCAUAAUAAUUUGUGUUUUAAAUGGGUACUGGUAUAAAUGGCUCCACAUUGUUAAUUUUUCUUUUUUUUAAAAAAUGAAUUUAGAGUAAAAGUAAAAAUACUUUUAUACACUAAAAAGACGAUAAGACCCUAAAAGCUUUAUAUUUUAGCCUAAUUAUUUUUAUAUAAUAUGGUUGUCGAUUUUUAACUGGGGUAGUUUUGUUUUUCUUAAACUAAUUAAAGACUAGCAAGGGUGUAUGACCCUUUAAUAAAGGUUUUGUUUAAGUUACUUUAGGGAUAACAGCGUUAUAAAAUUAAAGAGACCUUAUCUCCAAUUUUGAUUGCGACCUCGAUGUUGAAUUAACAAAUCCAAGAGGGGCAACCCCCUCAGAGGAAGGUUUGUUCAACCUUUAAUUUGUUACAUGAUCUGAGUUCAAACCGG